GGCGAGUGGCGAACGGGUGAGUAAUAUAUCGGAACGUACCGAGUAAUGGGGGAUAACUAAUCGAAAGAUUAGCUAAUACCGCAUAUUCUCUGAGGAGGAAAGCAGGGGACCUUCGGGCCUUGCGUUAUUCGAGCGGCCGAUAUCUGAUUAGUUAGUUGGUGGGGUAAAGGCCUACCAAGGCGACGAUCAGUAGCGGGUCUGAGAGGAUGAUCCGCCACACUGGGACUGAGACACGGCCCAGACUCCUACGGGAGGCAGCAGUGGGGAAUUUUGGACAAUGGGCGCAAGCCUGAUCCAGCCAUGCCGCGUGUCUGAAGAAGGCCUUCGGGUUGUAAAGGACUUUUGUCAGGGAAGAAAAGGCUGUUGCUAAUAUCGACAGCUGAUGACGGUACCUGAAGAAUAAGCACCGGCUAACUACGUGCCAGCAGCCGCGGUAAUACGUAGGGUGCGAGCGUUAAUCGGAAUUACUGGGCGUAAAGCGAGCGCAGACGGUUACUUAAGCAGGAUGUGAAAUCCCCGGGCUCAACCCGGGAACUGCGUUCUGAACUGGGUAACUAGAGUGUGUCAGAGGGAGGUAGAAUUCCACGUGUAGCAGUGAAAUGCGUAGAGAUGUGGAGGAAUACCGAUGGCGAAGGCAGCCUCCUGGGAUAACACUGACGUUCAUGCUCGAAAGCGUGGGUAGCAAACAGGAUUAGAUACCCUGGUAGUCCACGCCCUAAACGAUGUCAAUUAGCUGUUGGGCAACUUGAUUGCUUAGUAGCGUAGCUAACGCGUGAAAUUGACCGCCUGGGGAGUACGGUCGCAAGAUUAAAACUCAAAGGAAUUGACGGGGACCCGCACAAGCGGUGGAUGAUGUGGAUUAAUUCGAUGCAACGCGAAGAACCUUACCUGGUCUUGACAUGUACGGAAUCCUCCAGAGACGGAGGAGUGCCUUCGGGAGCCGUAACACAGGUGCUGCAUGGCUGUCGUCAGCUCGUGUCGUGAGAUGUUGGGUUAAGUCCCGCAACGAGCGCAACCCUUGUCAUUAGUUGCCAUCAUUUAGUUGGGCACUCUAAUGAGACUGCCGGUGACAAGCCGGAGGAAGG
This 1085-nucleotide ribosomal RNA is filed under the name Neisseria flavescens. Its description in RNAcentral is "bacterial SSU rRNA". It matches the Rfam family "Bacterial small subunit ribosomal RNA", at positions 90 to 1173 of the family's 1533-position model. The record is from RNAcentral. Lineage: Bacteria; Pseudomonadati; Pseudomonadota; Betaproteobacteria; Neisseriales; Neisseriaceae.